This 684-nucleotide long non-coding RNA is filed under the name Junco hyemalis (dark-eyed junco). RNAcentral describes it as "lncRNA (ENSJHYG00000016900.1)". The record is from RNAcentral. Lineage: Eukaryota; Metazoa; Chordata; Aves; Passeriformes; Passerellidae.
AUGAGCCUUAUCCAGGCACUGGCUGCUCCACAGGUCCUGCAAGAAGGAAUGCACGAAAAAUCAGAAUUCUUGAUGGCAGGGGAGAAGACUCAUAUCCAGCCUUGUCCUGGAUCUCCUUCUCCUUCUUCAAACCUCCUUCAGCCCACUUGGACUGUACCUUGUGCUUGGCAAGCACACCAGCUGCAGACUUCGUGCACCCAGGGGUGCAGAAAAGCAGCAGCCCUGCCCUUGGAACCUGGGGCUGCACAUGGAGAUAGCAGAGCUCUCGGGAAGCUGCAGCAGCGCCAAGCACACCCAGCCAGGCUGACCUCACCUCCUGAACACACAGCAGCACUGUCCUGCAACCCUGCACACACAUCAGCACUGUCCUGCAAUCCUGCACACACACCAGCACUGUCCUGCAAUCCUGCACACACACCAGCACUGUCCUGCAAACCCUGCCUGAGGUGUGCAUCAACCCUGUCUGCUGGAGAAAAGCCCCCUGUGGUGGCAGGUCCCCAGAGGAGCAGGAUGAGAUGUGACCCCACAUGGGAACCUGCUCAAGCAAUGCUAAACCUCUUCCCAAGGAGGGCAGCAUCACCUCUGUGCAAAAGGCUGCUUCGUGGGGAACUGAAAUGGGGGAAAUCUGCCUGGCUGCCAUCACAGCACAGACUGGUGCAAAGAAAGUCUUGUCUGGGGAGCUAA